Molecule: transfer RNA, 65 nt
Filed under: Dinocras cephalotes
Lineage: Eukaryota; Metazoa; Arthropoda; Insecta; Plecoptera; Perlidae
Description: tRNA-Tyr
Source: RNAcentral
GGUAGGAUGGCUGAGUUACAGGCAGUAGAUUGUAAAUCUAUGCACGAGGGCUACCUCUCAUACCA